Non-coding RNA from Peromyscus maniculatus bairdii (prairie deer mouse), 767 nucleotides. The record is from RefSeq and is a predicted model, not a curated record. Lineage: Eukaryota; Metazoa; Chordata; Mammalia; Rodentia; Cricetidae.
CUAGAACAAAGGCAGUGCUGGCCACUGGUGUUGGUGCUGCGUGAGGGAAGGAGUGGGGUCGUCGUCGUCUCCAGUUCAAUCCCUGUGAGUCCUGUGCUGCUGCUGUGAGGAAGAGAGGAAGGACAAAGAGCUUGAGACCUGCGUUUGUCAAUGCCUGGCUCCAAAGCAGUGAGAACUUCUACUCACACAGAAGGACCUGGGAUCCAUAGGCAGGUUCCUGCUGGAGAGAAAGCAUGCCUCCAGGACCAUGCCCAAACUGUGGACACUGGAGAGUUGACUGCAUCUCUUUGCCUCACUAAGGUAGGUCAGCCCCCCAAGUUCCUCCUCCAUGGAAAAGUCCCUUGCAUCUUCUGGACCUGGUGGCUGAAGACUAACACUGCCCUCGGACCCCCACCUUCCACAAAACCAUCAAGAUUUCCAAGAAGGAGCCUAGGAUAAUUGUCCAGGUAGUGGGUAAGUCCGUGUCUUUCUUAAUUGAUUCAGGAGCUAUUUGGUCUAUACUUCCUGGUUACAGGUUCUCUCCUCUUUCCUCUCUAGGGCCACAUGACAGCUUACUCUUUUCUCACCACAUCAUUGGGCAGAGAUAUCAUGGUUAAGUUAAACCUUUCAACCAACUCUCUCUGGAAUUUCCUCCUCUGAAGAGCCCCCUUAUUCAAUGACUAAUAUUAAUGCUUCACCCUCCCCCCAUCAGACUCUCACGUUGACCCAAAAGUAUGGGACAGUUCCUCUCCCUUGGUGGCCUCUCAUCCUCCUCCUAUUAAGAUCCU